CGCACAUUGCGCCUAUUGGUAUUCCAAUAGGCAUGCCUGUUCGAGCGUCAUUUAGCCCUUCAAGCUUUGCUUGGUGUUGGGUACUGUUCGCCUUGCGAACUUGCCUUGAAUAAAUUGGCAGCCAGCCAUUAGGUGUUGGAGCGUAGCACAUUUUGCGUUCCUAGCCAUAGUAGCCGGCGUCCAGAAAGCUUAUUUUAACGUUUGACCUCGGAUCAGGUAGGGAUACCCGCUGAACUUAA
Molecule: unclassified non-coding RNA, 239 nt
Filed under: Pleosporales sp.
Lineage: Eukaryota; Fungi; Ascomycota; Dothideomycetes; Pleosporales
Description: partial contains 5.8S ribosomal RNA, internal transcribed spacer 2, and large subunit ribosomal RNA
Source: RNAcentral